AUUGAACGCUGGCGGCAUGCCUUACACAUGCAAGUCGAACGGUAACAGGUCUUCGGAUGCUGACGAGUGGCGAACGGGUGAGUAAUACAUCGGAACGUGCCUAGUAGUGGGGGAUAACUACUCGAAAGAGUGGCUAAUACCGCAUGAGAUCUACGGAUGAAAGCAGGGGAUCGCAAGACCUUGUGCUACUAGAGCGGCCGAUGGCAGAUUAGGUAGUUGGUGGGAUAAAAGCUUACCAAUUUGACGAUCUGUAGCUGGUCUGAGAGGACGAUCGGCCACACUGGGACUGAGACACGGCCCAGACUCCUACGGGAGGCAGCAGUGGGGAAUUUUGGACAAUGGGCGAAAGCCUGAUCCAGCAAUGCCGCGUGCAGGAUGAAGGCCUUCGGGUUGUAAACUGCUUUUGUACGGAACGAAAAGCCCCGGGUUAAUACCCUGGGGUCAUGACGGUACCGUAAGAAUAAGCACCGGCUAACUACGUGCCAGCCGCCGCCGUAA
Molecule: ribosomal RNA, 498 nt
Filed under: uncultured bacterium
Lineage: Bacteria
Description: partial 16S ribosomal RNA
Rfam family: Bacterial small subunit ribosomal RNA
Source: RNAcentral